GAUGAACGCUAGCUACAGGCUUAACACAUGCAAGUCGAGGGGCAGCAUGAACUUAGCUUGCUAAGUUUGAUGGCGACCGGCGCACGGGUGAGUAACACGUAUCCAACCUGCCGAUGACUCGGGGAUAGCCUUUCGAAAGAAAGAUUAAUACCCGAUGGCAUAGUUCUUCCGCAUGGUAGAACUAUUAAAGGAUUUCGGUCAUCGAUGGGGAUGCGUUCCAUUAGGUUGUUGGCGGGGUAACGGCCCACCAAGCCUUCGAUGGAUAGGGGUUCUGAGAGGAAGGUCCCCCACAUUGGAACUGAGACACGGUCCAAACUCCUACGGGAGGCAGCAGUGAGGAAUAUUGGUCAAUGGACGAGAGUCUGAACCAGCCAAGUAGCGUGAAGGAUGACUGCCCUAUGGGUUGUAAACUUCUUUUAUACGGGAAUAAAGUGAGGCACGUGUGCCUUUUUGUAUGUACCGUAUGAAUAAGGAUCGGCUAACUCCGUGCCAGCAGCCGCGGU
Molecule: ribosomal RNA, 503 nt
Filed under: uncultured bacterium
Lineage: Bacteria
Description: bacterial SSU rRNA
Rfam family: Bacterial small subunit ribosomal RNA
Source: RNAcentral